Molecule: long non-coding RNA, 882 nt
Organism: Poecilia latipinna (sailfin molly)
Lineage: Eukaryota; Metazoa; Chordata; Actinopteri; Cyprinodontiformes; Poeciliidae
Exons: 2
Source: RefSeq, a predicted model, not a curated record
UCGUACUGAGUUUAGGUUUUGGAUCCUCUGCAUCUAGUGCAGAACGCAGCAGGCUGUCUUUCCUUUUCUUCCACUUGUUGCCUCGGCAACAUCUGCAUACAGGAAACGUUUCCCACCAGGAUUUCCUCUAAAUGUUCUCCAGUAAAUUCAUUUUCACACAGUCUGGUCUCCAGAAAUAUCAAAGCUGAACAAUCAAAUAUUUAUUUAGGUUUUUGGUUUGUUCUCAUCUCCGUUUUAUUCAGAGCACUUCCUCUGCAGACGGCUCACUCUGUGGACAACCAGUUACUAAUAAAUUAAACAUAAAUAUGAAGAAUGGAGACACGGCUGAAAGCGUCAGCUGUCUGACGGGGUAGGAGGCAAUCAUGACCCCAAGGAGAGGCUGGUUGUUACCGCUCUGCUCAUCGUCUCUGAGCAGAUUGAAAUAUAACCAUCAGAUGGGCUCCGUCCAUCAGGCAGAUUGAUUCAUGCUGCAGUGAAUGAAGCAGUUUGAAGAUCAGCUGCAGCCUGAGAGCCUGAAGGCUGUGAAGUUUAAAUGAAAGCAGAAAUGCUGUGACAUGGUGAACUAAUCAGCACUUCCAGAGCCUCAGUGAGGAGCGGAGCUUCUUGCCUGUCUGCCUCCAUAAGGCUCAUGAGAGCAGCAGGCGAUCCCGGUGUGUGUCAUGUCUCUAUUCGCCACCAGAAGGCGCCACAGUGAGAGCAGCACGUCGGCGGUGGAACCAGCGAGUCAGAAGCUCUUCCUGUGUGUCAGAAUCCCUCUGAGCGGUUUUAGGAUUGGUUAGGAUGAGUGGGCCGGCUCCGCUCAGUGGCACCAAACCUCAGAUUGUUCCUAUCAAUCAUUUCACUGAAUAAAACUCACAUGCAUCAUCAUUUUAAAUGACAAAA